This is a long non-coding RNA of Pleuronectes platessa (European plaice), 758 nucleotides long. RefSeq lists it as uncharacterized. NCBI's taxonomy places the organism in Eukaryota, Metazoa, Chordata, Actinopteri, Pleuronectiformes, Pleuronectidae. The transcript has 3 exons. The record is from RefSeq and is a predicted model, not a curated record.
AACAACUCUGCUGGUUGGUCAAGAUGUUUUUCCUAAUGUGUUUUUAUUUUUUUCACAUAUUCUCUCUAAUCUGCAACCUUACACUGAUGAAGAUCCAGAGAAGCUUGUGAAAGAAUACCUGAUCCAGAGAAGCUGGUGAAAGAAUACCUGAGCGAUGAUAAAAGCAGUCUGGAGGCUAUGGCAGAGACGGUCUUUGGAGUCUUUGUCAUUCGACACAACGGUGCAGGGCCCAGUGAGAACCCAGAGGAUGUCAGAAUUCUUCUGGAGGGUGUAAAGGUGUUGCAUGAGUUGAGGUAUGUGCCUUUUGCAGUGGCAGAGUUGCUUGUGCUCGUGUAUGCUCUAAACCGUAGCUACCCCAGAGAGCUAAAAUACACCUUUGAAGCUCUGCAGAAGAUCAAGUACAUGACUGAGCUCAUCCUCACCUUAGGAAAAACACCUUGUGACUAAAAAUCAGUUAAACUCUUGUUCGAUCCUAACAUAAGUGAAGUUAAAAUACUAAAAAAAAUUGUCUUCCACAAUGUUUUAGAUUUACCACUGUUGGCUUUUAUGUAAAAUGUCCCUAACUGUGAAAUGUUUUUGUUGGCACAAAAAAAUUUAAAAAAAUUUAAGCAGUGUUUUGUUUAUAAUGUUCAAGUCUUGACAUUGAGCAGGCUCUAGAAUUCAUUGAACCUCAGUUUCUGAUGUUAUGUUCACUGUUACAUUCUAAAUAUGUUGUACUGAUGUGGAAUGUGAAAUGUUUCAAGGGAAAUGUGAGUCUA